This 1225-nucleotide ribosomal RNA is filed under the name Erwinia tracheiphila. RNAcentral describes it as "bacterial SSU rRNA". It matches the Rfam family "Bacterial small subunit ribosomal RNA", at positions 114 to 1336 of the family's 1533-position model. Lineage: Bacteria; Pseudomonadati; Pseudomonadota; Gammaproteobacteria; Enterobacterales; Erwiniaceae. The record is from RNAcentral.
UGUCUGGGAAACUGCCUGAUGGAGGGGGAUAACUACUGGAAACGGUCACUAAUACCGCAUAACGUCGCAAGACCAAAGUGGGGGACCUUCGGGCCUCACGCCAUCGGAUGUGCCCAGAUGGGAUUAGCUUGUUGGUGGGGUAACGGCUCACCUAGGCGACGAUCCCUAGCUGGUCUGAGAGGAUGACCAGCCACACUGGAACUGAGACACGGUCCAGACUCCUACGGGAGGCAGCAGUGGGGAAUAUUGCACAAUGGGCGCAAGCCUGAUGCAGCCAUGCCGCGUGUAUGAAGAAGGCCUUCGGGUUGUAAAGUACUUUCAGCGGGGAGGAAGGUGGUGAGGUUAAUAACCUUAUCAAUUGACGUUACCCGCAGAAGAAGCACCGGCUAACUCCGUGCCAGCAGCCGCGGUAAUACGGAGGGUGCAAGCGUUAAUCGGAAUUACUGGGCGUAAAGCGCACGCAGGCGGUCUGUUAAGUCAGAUGUGAAAUCCCCGGGCUUAACCUGGGAACUGCAUUUGAAACUGGCAGGCUUGAGUCUUGUAGAGGGGGGUAGAAUUCCAGGUGUAGCGGUGAAAUGCGUAGAGAUCUGGAGGAAUACCGGUGGCGAAGGCGGCCCCCUGGACAAAGACUGACGCUCAGGUGCGAAAGCUUGGGGAGCAAACAGGAUUAGAUACCCUGGUAGUCCACGCCGUAAACGAUGUCGAUUUGGAGGUUGUGCCCUUGAGGCGUGGCUUCCGUAGCUAACGCGUUAAGUCGACCGCCUGGGGAGUACGGCCGCAAGGUUAAAACUCAAAUGAAUUGACGGGGGCCCGCACAAGCGGUGGAGCAUGUGGUUUAAUUCGAUGCAACGCGAAGAACCUUACCUGGCCUUGACAUCCACAGAACUUAGCAGAGAUGCUUUGGUGCCUUCGGGAACUGUGAGACAGGUGCUGCAUGGCUGUCGUCAGCUCGUGUUGUGAAAUGUUGGGUUAAGUCCCGCAACGAGCGCAACCCUUAUCCUUUGUUGCCAUCGAUUCGGUCGGGAACUCAAAGGAGACUGCCGGUGAUAAACCGGAGGAAGGUGGGGAUGACGUCAAGUCAUCAUGGCCCUUACGGCCAGGGCUACACACGUGCUACAAUGGCGCAUACAAAGAGAAGCGACCUCGCGAGAGCAAGCGGACCUCAUAAAGUGCGUCGUAGUCCGGAUCGGAGUCUGCAACUCGACUCCGUGAAGUCGGAAUCGCU